AAUCAGGUUUUUUUAGAAACCACUCACACAACUAGUCUUUGUAUA
Hordeum vulgare subsp. vulgare (domesticated barley) is the source of this 45-nucleotide non-coding RNA. The record is from Rfam. NCBI's taxonomy places the organism in Eukaryota, Viridiplantae, Streptophyta, Magnoliopsida, Poales, Poaceae.